CAGGGAAUAUUGCACAAUGGGCGAAAGCCUGAUGCAGCGACACCGCGUGCGGGAUGACGGCCUUCGGGUUGUAAACCGCUUUCAGGAGGGAAGAAAAUGACGGUACCUCCAGAAGAAGCUCCGGCCAACUACGUGCCAGCAGCCGCGGUAAUACGUAGGGAGCAAACGUUGUCCGGAUUUAUUGGGCGUAAAGGGCUCGUAGGCGGUUCAACAAGUCGGUCGUGAAAGCCCGGGGCUCAACCCCGGGACGCCGGUCGAAACUGUUGUGACUUGAGUUCGGUAGAGGUGAGUGGAAUUCCCGGUGUAGCGGUGGAAUGCGCAGAUAUCGGGAGGAACACCAUUAGCGAAGGCGGCUCACUGGGCCGAUACUGACGCUGAGGAGCGAAAGCGUGGGGAGCAAACAGG
This 405-nucleotide ribosomal RNA is filed under the name uncultured Halobacteriovorax sp. Its description in RNAcentral is "bacterial SSU rRNA". It matches the Rfam family "Bacterial small subunit ribosomal RNA", at positions 355 to 776 of the family's 1533-position model. The record is from RNAcentral. Lineage: Bacteria; Pseudomonadati; Bdellovibrionota; Bacteriovoracia; Bacteriovoracales; Halobacteriovoraceae.